UUUCGGAUGAUGAGGACAUUUUGAAAGAGUGUUUUAUGGAUCUAGCUUCAUUUCCUGAAGGCCAUGGGUUACUUUUCCUACCCUAAUUGAUAUGUGGGCUGAAUUACAUGAACUAGAUGAACAUGGCAAUGGUGCCAUUGACAAUUUACAUGAACUCACCUCCCGGAAUCUGGCUACUCUAGUGAGGACAAGGAAAGAAUCGAAAUAUACAAGUGAGAACAACAAUUAUUAUACUUGUUAUUAUGAAGACUUUGUCACACAACAUGAUCCUCUUAGAGAGCUAGCUAUUUAUGAGGCCAGCCGGGGGGCCAAUCGGACAAAGGAAACGAUUGUUUAUGGACAUAAAUAAAAACACUCUACCGAAGUGGUGUACGAAACAGGAUCAGCACCUCAUCAAUGCCCGCCUAUUAUCUAUCUCAACUGAUGAAUUAUUCUUGUCAAGUUGGUGCAACAUUCAAGCACCCAAAGUUGAGGUUCUAAUUCUGAACUUUCAGACACAGAAUUACAGCUUACCUG
Quercus lobata is the source of this 516-nucleotide long non-coding RNA. RefSeq lists it as uncharacterized. Lineage: Eukaryota; Viridiplantae; Streptophyta; Magnoliopsida; Fagales; Fagaceae. The record is from RefSeq and is a predicted model, not a curated record. The transcript is spliced from 3 exons.